UACGUAGGGGGGCAAGCGUUGUCCGGAUUUACUGGGCGUAAAGAGCGUGUAGGCGGCCACGCAGGUCCGUUGUGAAAACUGGAGGCUCAACCUCCAGCUGUCGACGGAAACCGUAUGGCUAGAGUCCGGAAGAGGAGAGUGGAAUUCCUGGUGUAGCGGUGAAAUGCGCAGAUAUCAGGAAGAACACCAAUGGCGAAGGCAGCUCUCUGGGACGGUACUGACGCUGAGACGCGAAAGCGUGGGGAGCAAACAGG
This 254-nucleotide ribosomal RNA is filed under the name uncultured bacterium. RNAcentral's name for it is "partial 16S ribosomal RNA". It matches the Rfam family "Bacterial small subunit ribosomal RNA", at positions 524 to 776 of the family's 1533-position model. The record is from RNAcentral.